GACGAACGCUGGCGGCGUGCUUAACACAUGCAAGUCGAACGGAAAGGCCCUGCUUUUGUGGGGUGCUCGAGUGGCGAACGGGUGAGUAACACGUGAGUAACCUGCCCUUGACUUUGGGAUAACUUCAGGAAACUGGGGCUAAUACCGGAUAGGAGCUCCUGCUGCAUGGUGGGGGUUGGAAAGUUUUGGCGGUUGGGGAUGGACUCGCGGCUUAUCAGCUUGUUGGUGGGGUAGUGGCUUACCAAGGCUUUGACGGGUAGCCGGCCUGAGAGGGUGACCGGCCACAUUGGGACUGAGAUACGGCCCAGACUCCUACGGGAGGCAGCAGUGGGGAAUAUUGCACAAUGGGCGGAUGCCUGAUGCAGCAACGCCGCGUGCGGGAUGACGGCCUUCGGGUUGUAAACCGCUUUCGCCUGUGACGAAGCGUGAGUGACGGUAAUGGGUAAAGAAGCACCGGCUAACUACGUG
This 468-nucleotide ribosomal RNA is filed under the name uncultured bacterium. RNAcentral's name for it is "partial 16S ribosomal RNA". It matches the Rfam family "Bacterial small subunit ribosomal RNA", at positions 28 to 507 of the family's 1533-position model. The record is from RNAcentral.